This 478-nucleotide ribosomal RNA is filed under the name uncultured bacterium. RNAcentral's name for it is "partial 16S ribosomal RNA". It matches the Rfam family "Bacterial small subunit ribosomal RNA", at positions 28 to 523 of the family's 1533-position model. The record is from RNAcentral.
GACGAACGCUGGCGGCGUGCUUAACACAUGCAAGUCGAACGGUAAGGCCCUUCGGGGUACACGAGUGGCGAACGGGUGAGUAACACGUGGGUGAUCUGCCCUGCACUUCGGGAUAAGCCUGGGAAACUGGGUCUAAUACCGGAUAGGACCACUGCCUGCAUGGGUGGUGGUGGAAAGCUUUUGCGGUGUGGGAUGGGCCCGCGGCCUAUCAGCUUGUUGGUGGGGUGAUGGCCUACCAAGGCGACGACGGGUAGCCGGCCUGGGAGGGUGACCGGCCACACUGGGACAGAGAUACGGCCCAGACUCCUACGGGAGGCAGCAGUGGGGAAUAUUGCACAAUGGGCGCAAGCCUGAUGCAGCGACGCCGCGUGAGGGAUGACGGCCUUCGGGUUGUAAACCUCUUUCGGCACCGACGAAGCGCAAGUGACGGUAGGUGCAGAAGAAGGACCGGCCAACUACGUGCCAGCCGCCGCAGUAA